AUCCGAUCCGUCUCCUACGGGCUGUCACUUUCAAGGCUAGCAGGCUAGCCACUACUCUACGUCGCGGGGGGGACAAACCGUGAGUUCGGUUUUAACACGACGUCGCUGGGCGGCUGGAGGUUAGUGAGUGUCUCCUAAUGGCCAGUGUCGGUGUGUUGUAGCGUGAGCCGAAUACAGCUCACUUUGAAACAAGGGUCCAAGCUAAAGGCUGAACACGUUGUGUGGCCGCUCGUCUUUGUCAGAUAGCGCGUGAACCGUCAGCAAGUGGGUCGCUCGGUCAGGAAACGCUGUCUGGGCCCUUUCCGCCCCGCUGAUCUCCGCCCCAGGAUGCCGUGCCACAACCAGCAGAUGAACAGUGUCAACAGUGGCCCGGACCACCCAGUGAAGCAGGUCCGGUUCGCUAACAGCGGCGGUGUCCCCCCGGUGCUGAGCAGCUCUGAGCCCAGCGAUGCCACCACACUACCCAGUCAGGAAAACCUGGGACCGCAGCUCAAGCUGCUCCCUCUCAACGACCAGAUCCGAGAACUACAGACCAUCAUCAGAGACAAGACAACCAGCAGAGGAGAUUUCGUUUUUUGUGCCGACCGUCUGAUAAGACUAGUAGUUGAAGAGGGCUUGAAUCAGCUCCCUUACUCAGAGUGCACUGUGACUACACCAACAGGGUACAAGUAUGAAGGUGUCAAGUUUGAAAGAGGCAAUUGUGGAGUCAGCAUAAUGAGGAGUGGCGAGGCCAUGGAACAGGGUCUCCGGGACUGCUGCCGCUCCAUCCGCAUUGGCAAGAUCCUCAUCCAGAGCGAUGAAGAGACACAGAAAGCCAAGGUCUACUAUGCCAAGUUCCCCCCAGAUGUGUACAGAAGAAAGGUGCUGCUCAUGUAUCCCAUCCUCAGUACAGGGAAUACAGUGAUCGAAGCAGUGAAGGUGUUGAUAGAGCACGGAGUUCAACCCAGACACAUUAUCCUCCUCAGCCUCUUCUCCACACCUCAUGUCAGCAGGAUUACAGAAACACUUCUGCACAGAUUUUUAUAAAGUAUAGUGGAGUUAUUGGACAUUCCCUGAGGAGGAGCACAUUACUCUUUUUAGCGGAGCCAGAGAAAAACAGCAGGCAGGAUUUGUUUUUCACGUUAUUUAACAUGGAGCCAAAUCUAUAAUCCAGGAGUUCCCAGACAUCACCAUUCUGACCACAGAGGUUCAUCCAGUGGCUCCAACACAUUUUGGACAGAGGUACUUUGGCACCGACUAAACUGAGGAAGACCCGAGGAACAUGAUCUGCGACCUGUUGUGACAUUUAUUUAAAUAUUCCCUAUGUUCUCCUUGUUGUGCCAAAUACUGCAACGUGAUCUUACAAUUUCCCAGAUUGAUACAAAAUUGAUAGUGAUUGUAUUUAUUAUGUUUGUUUUGUUGCGGUGUAUACUCAUGCUAUAAAAAGAAGAAUACUCUGAAUCAUGAGGAGAGUUCAACUUGGAGCCUUUUAUUUUGCAUGUUACAACAAGUGAUGGAUCAAUAAAGAAUUUAUAUUUGUUAAAAGACAGAACAGAAAA
This is an RNA transcript of Pleuronectes platessa (European plaice), 1538 nucleotides long. It is a transcript of the gene named uracil phosphoribosyltransferase (FUR1) homolog (S. cerevisiae), with no coding region annotated. The transcript is spliced from 8 exons. Lineage: Eukaryota; Metazoa; Chordata; Actinopteri; Pleuronectiformes; Pleuronectidae. The record is from RefSeq and is a predicted model, not a curated record.